RNAcentral lists this ribosomal RNA (484 nucleotides) under uncultured bacterium. Its description in RNAcentral is "partial 16S ribosomal RNA". It matches the Rfam family "Bacterial small subunit ribosomal RNA", at positions 30 to 507 of the family's 1533-position model. The record is from RNAcentral.
AUUGAACGCUGGCGGCAGGCCUAACACAUGCAAGUCGAGCGGAUGAAGGGAGCUUGCUCCUGGAUUCAGCGGCGGACGGGUGAGUAAUGCCUAGGAAUCUGCCUGGUAGUGGGGGAUAACGUCCGGAAACGGGCGCUAAUACCGCAUACGUCCUGAGGGAGAAAGUGGGGGAUCUUCGGACCUCACGCUAUCAGAUGAGCCUAGGUCGGAUUAGCUAGUUGGUGGGGUAAAGGCCUACCAAGGCGACGAUCCGUAACUGGUCUGAGAGGAUGAUCAGUCACACUGGAAGUGGGACACGGUCCAGACUCCUACGGGAGGCAGCAGUGGGGAAUAUUGGACAAUGGGCGAGAGCCUGAUCCAGCCAUGCCGCGUGUGUGAAGAAGGUCUUCGGAUUGUAAAGCACUUUAAGUUGGGAGGAAGGGCAGUAAGUUAAUACCUUGCUGUUUUGACGUUACCAACAGAAUAAGCACCGGCUAACUUCGUG